GACGAACGCUGGCGGCGUGCCUAAUACAUGCAAGUCGAACGCUGAAGGAGGAGCUUGCUUCUCUGGAUGAGUUGCGAACGGGUGAGUAACGCGUAGGUAACCUGCCUGGUAGCGGGGGAUAACUAUUGGAAACGAUAGCUAAUACCGCAUAAGAGUAGAUGUUGCAUGACAUUUGCUUAAAAGGUGCAAUUGCAUCACUACCAGAUGGACCUGCGUUGUAUUAGCUAGUUGGUGGGGUAACGGCUCACCAAGGCGACGAUACAUAGCCGACCUGAGAGGGUGAUCGGCCACACUGGGACUGAGACACGGCCCAGACUCCUACGGGAGGCAGCAGUAGGGAAUCUUCGGCAAUGGACGGAAGUCUGACCGAGCAACGCCGCGUGAGGGAAGAAGGUUUUCGGAUCGUAAAGCUCCGUUGUAAGAGAAGAACGAGUGUGAGAGUGGAAAGUUCACACUGUGACGGUAUCUUACCAGAAAGGGACGGCUAACUACGUG
RNAcentral lists this ribosomal RNA (495 nucleotides) under uncultured bacterium. RNAcentral describes it as "partial 16S ribosomal RNA". It matches the Rfam family "Bacterial small subunit ribosomal RNA", at positions 28 to 507 of the family's 1533-position model. The record is from RNAcentral.